Molecule: unclassified non-coding RNA, 786 nt
Filed under: Hevea brasiliensis (rubber tree)
Lineage: Eukaryota; Viridiplantae; Streptophyta; Magnoliopsida; Malpighiales; Euphorbiaceae
Source: RNAcentral
UAGAGAGGGUCUCAACUAUUGUGCAGAGUAAGCAGCAGAGGACAGAGGGGGAAGAAGCAUAAGCUAAAGCUACUCACUGAAAUAUAUCUAUACCUUAAAUAAAUCUCCAUUUCCAAUCCAUGGCUGUCUUGUUCUCUUUGCUUCUCCCACAUUUUAAUCUUUAACAAGCUCAUUCUCUACCUCUCUACUUGUUCCUUAACAAAGGUCAGUAAGAUUGUACACUAUCCUCCUUUCAUUUCCCUUUUUGCAUCCGAGAAAAUGCAAGAAAAGUUUAUGGAAGGAAAUGUCUUUUUUGUGUAAAAUUAUCUUUUAACACUUACCGAGAACUCGAAACAUCAUUUUUAGUGUUAUCUGACCUAUUAUUCCAACUUUCUCACUUUUCUCGGCAGCCAAACGGUGAUAAUUCUUUCUUUUUUUUGCCCUUUUUUUCUUGUAUUAUUUUUUACUUCCCUGCUGAAGUAAAGCCACAGUUUUCUUUUCUUUUUAAAAAUACUUGCUUAGAUAUUUAAUUGCAUUUUAUUUCUCUGACAGCAAUUAUUCCCUUUGAAGUUCUUUUGCUGAGAGUUCUGGUUUUCUUGAAAAGUCUUACUAUUAUCUGAUAAUGUAGCCUUUGAUUUUCGAGUCCCAAAAGCUUGAAGCUUGAAGCUUGUAGCAGGCUAUUUUUACAAGCGUGGUUUUGUCAUUUCAGUGGGCAGAGGGAGAUGGAAAAAGGGAAAAAAGAGCAAAAUCGAAUCUAAUAAAGGCUGACAUACAUUUUUUUUUGUUUUAUUUUUUGUCAUUUCUCUG